UACGGGAGGCAGCAGUGGGGAAUAUUGGACAAUGGGCGGAAGCCUGAUCCAGCAAUACCGCGUGUGUGAAGAAGGCCUGAGGGUUGUAAAGCACUUUCAAUUGGGAGGAAAACCAGGCAGGUCA
This 124-nucleotide ribosomal RNA is filed under the name uncultured bacterium. RNAcentral describes it as "partial 16S ribosomal RNA". It matches the Rfam family "Bacterial small subunit ribosomal RNA", at positions 340 to 463 of the family's 1533-position model. The record is from RNAcentral.